Molecule: long non-coding RNA, 5014 nt
Organism: Xiphophorus hellerii (green swordtail)
Lineage: Eukaryota; Metazoa; Chordata; Actinopteri; Cyprinodontiformes; Poeciliidae
Exons: 2
Source: RefSeq, a predicted model, not a curated record
ACUCCAGGUGACGCACACAACUGGGUUUGUAGUUGGAGGUGUUCCUGAUAGUUUCCGACCUCUGUCGGAGGUUUUUGACAGCUGGGAAAGUCGUCUGACCCCCACCAUGCAGCUGGAAAUGGUAGGCAGGACAUAUUUGGUUAGCUGCUUUGCUAGCAUGCAUCGUUUCUCCAGGCCUCGGAUUAUUAUUUAAAAAACCUACUAGAUGAUCCAUAACGUCUGUUUUUGUUGCUUCUUAAUUAAGUGAAUAAAGCAUUGUGAUAGUUUACAUUCACACCGGCUGUAAGUGUUUGUUAAUGUAGAGGAAUGUUUUUGUCAUGUCAGUGGCUAACAACGACGUGUUGGUAGCACUGAAGGGCGGCCAUACUGUGACUAACUCUGAAAAGUAUUUCUCAAACCAAAUGACAAGCAUUAGCUUCUACAAUACAGUCAGAUAAGAAAUAUUCUUUGUUUGCUUUUACAAAUUAGACAGUAUCUCUUGUAUAUUUCGUGUAUAUUUGUUUAUAAAAGCCACCACAGUAUAAAAGCUCAAAACAAGCAACACUCAAAAGAACUAUAUAUCGAAUUGAAAGGACAUUAUAAUAAAAUUCAAAUAAUGCUAAGAUAAUGUCUUUAGUUUUAAAACAAACAGCUGCAGCGGUUUUUGUUAUUAAUUUACAUAAAAACUUGCUAUUCAUCACAAAAAUUAGCGUUAUUCCUAACAGGUUCCAUAGGUCUUAGCAUAAAAUUGUACACAAAUGUGUCAAAUACAUUAGAAAGCAAUGGAUCAACCACAUUUAUUAUUAUCAUUUGUUGCACUUUUGAGAUGUAUGCAGAUUUUGUCAGGAUUAGAAAAGCUAAUGAAUAGAGAACUGAUUCGAUCAAGUCAUUUUGAUUUUGGUAAAUGGCAUAAAAACAUAAACUAUGUGGGUUAUAAAAAUAAUUGUACCUCUAUUCAGACAAAUAAAAACCUUGUUUUAUAGGACUAAACAUUUUUGCUAUGUUGCUACCAGGCAGUAAGCAAAUAAAUUGAAUUCUAGGUGUGUUUUUUUGACAGGGAAUCUGACAUUCUUGACUCACAAUAGAAAGUAAUCUGUUUUAAUUGUAUUGUGAAACCUGCAGAGCAAAAAGCAGUAAUGCACCUGUUACAAAUAACAAAAAUGCUUUCAAAAAGGGAUGAGCAAUGUCAAGGUAAAAUUAUCAAAAUACAAUACAACAUAUUUUAGAGCGUUUUUAGCAGUAAUAAUAAAAGUGAUAUAAAUCUAUCAUUACAUACAGUUUAAGGUUUUGCAAAUCUGCCACUAAAACCUUCACAAUCUUUAUUUUCAGUCAUAUUUUGUAUCAGUAUUAAUGCAAACCAAAGUUUUUAAACUUAAAGUUAUAGCUAUCUAUACCUUUAAAGUUCUUGCCAUAGAGUAAUGCAGCACUGCCCUGCCCCACCUGUUGCUGAACACUUUUGAGAAGUAGUUCAAAAUGUUUAGGGGGUUUGCAAACAUAUAUUAGAUUUUCUUGUUACUUUUACAGUUGAUUUAAGGCUUAAUAAGUAUCCUUUCCAUAAUAACAAUAGUAUAAAUUAAAGUAGCAUUAUGGACAAAUGGUAGCCUAUUUUAGGUAGCAAAAUAGAUUCCUCUCAUCCAAAGAAAUGUAAUUGAGGAUGUUGAAAUAAUUUUUUGUUGUUGUUGUAGAACAACAAAACUUCCAAAUGUGGGGGUGGAAGUAGGACAUUUUCACAUUAGGAUCAUUGUUUCAUUGUAUAUCGCUAAUAAAAAAAAAAGUCCAAAUUGUUUUUGUUUUUUUUUGUUUACAACCUAAAAGCAAUAUUUAUUUCUACUGCUACUAAAAUUUUAUAACGUAAUGAUUAUUGCGGUUACAGUAAUGUAACUGUAAUGUAUUUUUUAAAUCUUUUGCUCUCUAUAGAUUAACACAAACAUAAUUAGCAUUAGCAUAAUUAGACGUUAAUGUGUCUUGUAGCUUGGCAACUUUAUUUUUUUAAACUUCAUAGAGUGAUAGAGUUGCUCUUUUAGUUUCCAUGACUUAAAUUAUUUCAGAACAGCCAAAUUUUCUCUGCUGUAAAGAAAGAAGCAUACAGCUGCACUCUGCCUGCAUUCUAUAAUUAUUACAUGUUAAGUUAGACAGAAAUUGGCAUUUUUAUUGUCAAUAAAUACUGUACCUAAUACAAAAAAGCUAAACAGUUUAAACUUUGCAUGGUAUUUGUUUUGGAUAAAACUAAAUCGGUUGAGUAUUACUGGCACACAGAUUCACAUUGGUGUUGUAAAAUAUUGCCAAUAAGUGACAUUGAUUUUUUUUUCAGCUAUAGCUGAAUAAUAAAAACCAGGAUAUACCACUGGAGACUUUGUUGGGGGGAUAAAAGAAACAAUACGGUUUUGUUAAAAUAUUUUGGCUACAGACGAGGUGACGUUAACCAUAAACAGGUUCUCUGGCUUUAGGACUUUGUAGCUGUUGCCACAACAUGACACAAGAUGACUUAAUGACUUGAUCAUUGAAAUAAGGUCAACAAAACUCUGUAUAACAAUUGCAGAAUUACAUCUGAUUGUUGUCUUAACAAUAAACAAACAAACCUGUUGGGUGUAUUUAAGCAAUUUAUGUAGCACUACAAGUUAAAACAGUUUUUUGCAAUUGAAAAGCAAAGAAGCUUUGAUUUGUGAGUGCAUGAAUGCCUUAGAUCAUAAACAAUCCUCCAAGGUGGCAUCAUCAGCCUCUUUUCUCUACCUUGCUUUCCACUUGCAUCUAAAAUCGCACUUGCAUGAGUUAAGUGUCAAAGUAUGUCAAAUCCCGGCGCAGCCAAAGCGAGGCCUCCAUUUACUCUUAUUGCUUAAGACCCGUGCUGAGUAGUAAUGAAACAUUAGAGUGCUCUGACAUUAUUGUCCCUGAUCCUUUGGACUCGGCUUUCGUUUCGACAUUUCUUUUUAAUAACUUAUGUCUUGUUAAGUUAUCCUGAGUAUUAGCAGCUGUUUCCAGCGGCGUCCAAGUUGGAUUAAUUUGUCGUAGUUGAGACAUGAACUGCUUCGCUGUUGCAGAGCUUGCCAAUACAUGAAGACUUCUGCUUUUCAUUCUGCUCCUUUGCUUCGACUUGUACUACACUGCAAAAACUCUUACCAAGUAUUUUUGGUCUAGUUAAAGAAAUAUCUUUAUACACUUACAAGUAACUUUUUACGACAUAUAUGAGCUUGUUUUAAGUCAAUAAUUCCUUAACGAUGAAAAAGUUCUAGUUCCACAGGCAGAUUACUUUUCUUAUAACUGGACAUUUUUCCAAAGUUAAAGAUGAAACCUAGCAGUGAAGCUAGAACUUUUUUAUCAGUAUUAAGGAUUUUUUGACUCCUAUAUCAGGGUUUUCCCCAGUGUAUUAUAAGCCUGGCGGGCCACCAGGCUUUACUUGUGCGCCCCACCUUUUUUUUCCGAGCCUUUAUAAAAUGUUUGCAUUUUUUAAGGGUUUAUAGUUAGUGUUCAGGUAUUAAUAUUCCAAUAUGUCAAUAACACAUAAUUAUCAAGUGAUAUUUUAAAUUUCCUGUCAACUUUAAACGUUUUUUAACUCAAACACAACGGCCCAACCACCGGGCUUAGCAAGUUUUCAGGGGGAAACCUUGUAUAUUUAACUGAAAGUUACUAGAAACAAAAAUACUUGGUAGGAUUGUGUUUUUGUAUUUAUUUAAUACAGUCAGUCUUCUUGCUCAAAUUACUUAAAAAGGGCAGAGUAAACCCAAUCCUUUAAGAUCUUUGUUGUAGUUCUUAAAUACAGUAGACCAACAGGCUUUUCAGAGAGAGGAAGAAAGAAGACGAGUGAUCUUUGGCCCUGGCCUGCUGGUCUUGGCAGCAGCAACAGGUUUUUCUGUUUUCAUUUAUAGAAAUGUGGAAAUGAAUUCAACAUCCUAAAGUCAGCAGAACAGGUUUUAGUUGUCGUUGUUUUUUGUUUUUUUGUUGUUUGUUUUUAAAUUGAACGUAACGUAUCCUAUUUUUUUUAAAGUCGAUUGUUUGGUGAAACUUGUCUAAAUUGUGAAAAGAGCAAAGUUAAAUGGAGAUCUCAUCUGAAACCUGUUUGACAUAAAUACACCAGAAGCAAUGACACGGCCCAUUUUCUCAUAACCUCACGGCUCAGGUGUAAAACUAGAAACUCACAGGUUGUAAUAAAUGUUUUCUCUGUAUAACCAGAAAUAAACUCAGUUAUAACCACUGCUAAACUUUCAAAGUUAUUACCAAUCAGUGCAAAGGAGAAAACUUAAUUCACGUUCAGCUGCGCUUUGGGGGAAAAGUUUAGGUACUUACCGAUGGUAAAUUGAUUAGUAAUUCACAUUUUACGACUUGGAUACACUUACAUACUCUGCUAUAACCACCGGCUUUUAAAUAGUGUGAAAUAUUCCAGCAUUUUCAUCGUGUAAGAUUAUCUUUCAUGUCAUUUUUGGUGCGCAAUCUAAAAGGCUGCUCGAGUUUUUUCUGCAUUUCAGACCUGAUUGUUGUUUGCAACAUGAAAAUUGGGAUUUAGCAGAAGCUGCUCCCACAUGGUGCUGAUUUCAGUUUAGGAAACUUGUAUUUUUAUCUUUGUUUCACCUUUAAUUUACAUUUGUAAAGUUGCCAGCAAUAAUCGGAAUCACUCGAAAUAUUUUGUGCCGUUUUUUUGGUUCUGCUGCCUGGGAAAUAAUUGCAAUUUGAAAUGUAUUCCCUAGUGAUUCCUUAAGUUAUUUUUUAACUUGCUAUUUCAGUUAUUUCGAUCAUUAAAAAACGUCCAAAAUAAAAUAUUAAAGUUGCAAAAUCAAACGCAUUCCAUUCUCUUGAAACACUUGCAAAAUAAAACAUAAUAACAGCUUGGAAACCAAAUUUUAUAAAUAAGUUUUGUGAGCUUGAAAUUGGGGCUGAAACGAUUAAUUGUGAUUAAUCAAUUAUUGAGAUCAACUAAUUUAGUAAUCGGCUUAUCGUUAACUGAUGUAUAUAGACUCAAAAAAGGCAAUUUGCUUAAAGAACAACAUAUUCAGAAUAGUAACAAAGCCAAAAAUAUAUCUACAUUUUGCAUUUUAGAUCAAAU